RNAcentral lists this long non-coding RNA (392 nucleotides) under Fukomys damarensis (Damara mole-rat). RNAcentral's name for it is "lncRNA (ENSFDAG00000027702.1)". The record is from RNAcentral. Lineage: Eukaryota; Metazoa; Chordata; Mammalia; Rodentia; Bathyergidae.
UUGAUUUUAAUAGUGUUAAAUUGAUGACUUAUCUUCUGUAUUAUUCUUAGGGAGUAACAAAGCAAGUGGAAAGAGCUGAAGGAAAGCCAGUUCUCCUGGAACCAACAGAGGAAUAAGACUGAUUAAUAAGCGUCAGCUUCCAAGGACACAAAAGCAAAAGCAUAAGAAGUGUUUAACUCCUGAAUUCCUUGUACUUAGAUGAGAACUAGAAUAUGCAUACCUCAACAGUAUGGAGAACCACAAGCUUCAAUUGUUGCUGCUUUUCACUUCCUAGCAGUCCCCUGCACAUCAUCACUGUUUUGCCUCUUGCUUCCGAACACCCUGGAUCUCAUGGAGCCCUACAAAAACCGCACUAUCACACUGUAAAUAAGCUCACAGUAGCACAACUAUGA